RNAcentral lists this ribosomal RNA (460 nucleotides) under uncultured bacterium. RNAcentral describes it as "partial 16S ribosomal RNA". It matches the Rfam family "Bacterial small subunit ribosomal RNA", at positions 338 to 795 of the family's 1533-position model. The record is from RNAcentral.
CCUACGGGAGGCAGCAGUGAGGAAUAUUGGUCAAUGGACGAGAGUCUGAACCAGCCAAGUAGCGUGAAGGAUGACUGCCCUAUGGGUUGUAAACUUCUUUUAUAUGGGAAUAAAAUGUUGCACGUGUGGGAUUUUGUAUGUACCAUAUGAAUAAGGAUCGGCUAACUCCGUGCCAGCAGCCGCGGUAAGACGGAGGAUCCGAGCGUUAUCCGGAUUUAUUGGGUUUAAAGGGAGCGUAGGUGGAUUGUUAAGUCAGUUGUGAAAGUUUGCGGCUCAACUGUAAAAUUGCAGUUGAAACUGGCAGUCUUGAGUACAGUAGAGGUGGGCGGAAUUCGUGGUGUAGCGGUGAAAUGCUUAGAUAUCACGAAGAACUCCGAUUGCGAAGGCAGUUCACUGGACUGCAACUGACACUGAGGCUCGAAAGUGUGGGUAUCAAACAGGAUUAGAUACCCCUGUAGUC